Ribosomal RNA from Camellia sinensis, 156 nucleotides. RefSeq annotates it as 5.8S ribosomal RNA. The record is from RefSeq and is a predicted model, not a curated record. Lineage: Eukaryota; Viridiplantae; Streptophyta; Magnoliopsida; Ericales; Theaceae.
AAAUCUCGACAAUGGAUAUCUUGACUCUCGUAUCGAUGAAAAACGUAGCGAAAUGUGAUACUUGGUGUGAAUUGCACAAUCCUGUGAACCAUUGAUUCUUUGAAAGCAAGUUAUGCCUGAAGCCAUUAGGUUGAUGGCACGUCUGCUUGGGCAUCU